UAGGUUGGGAAAAAGACAUCAUCCCUUGAGGUAAAAUUAUGUUUGCUUCCUUUUACUCCCAAAAUCUUUUUACCGUGGGUAAAAGGAAUCAUCAUGGGUUAUAAAAGGAAUCAAAUUUAAAUUUAACUCAAGGGGUCUUGAUGUCGUUUUCCCCAACAGG
RNAcentral lists this microRNA precursor (160 nucleotides) under Medicago truncatula (barrel medic). RNAcentral describes it as "MIR2670 microRNA precursor family". It matches the Rfam family "MIR2670 microRNA precursor family", at positions 23 to 178 of the family's 200-position model. Lineage: Eukaryota; Viridiplantae; Streptophyta; Magnoliopsida; Fabales; Fabaceae. The record is from Rfam by way of RNAcentral.